RNAcentral lists this ribosomal RNA (277 nucleotides) under uncultured bacterium. Its description in RNAcentral is "partial 16S ribosomal RNA". It matches the Rfam family "Bacterial small subunit ribosomal RNA", at positions 331 to 609 of the family's 1533-position model. The record is from RNAcentral.
CGGUACCUACGGGGGAGCAGUGAGGAAUAUUGGUCAAUGGCCGAGAGGCUGAACCAGCCAAGUCGCGUGAGGGAAGACGGCCCUACGGGUUGUAAACCUCUUUUGUCGGGGAGCAAAGAGAGUCACGUGUGACUCAUUGAGAGUACCCGAAGAAAAAGAAACGGAUAACUCCGUGCCAGCAGCCGCGGUAAUACGGAGGAUGCGAGCGUUAUCCGGCUUUAUUGGGUUUAAGGGUAGCGCAGGCGGAGGUGCAAGUCAGCGGUCAAAUUGCGAGGCU